Molecule: long non-coding RNA, 382 nt
Filed under: Sorghum bicolor (sorghum)
Lineage: Eukaryota; Viridiplantae; Streptophyta; Magnoliopsida; Poales; Poaceae
Description: long non-coding RNA (SBIC_LNC001897)
Source: RNAcentral
UACAGUUCAUCUCAAGGUUCUUCUUUUUUUUAAAAAAAAAAAGAAAAAAAAGGAUUCCUAUAGGCUAGUCUAGACCAUCAGACACUGCUAUUUUGUUCUAGGUCUUGUUUAGUUGUAAACAAAUUUGCAAAAUGAUUAUUAUAGUAUUUUUAUUUGUAUUUAAUAAAUAUUGUCGAAUCAUAGAUUAACCAGGCUCAAAAGAUUCCGUCUCAUAAAUUAUAGUCAAAUUGUGUAAUUAGUUGUUUUUUAUCUAUAUUUAAUGCUCCAUACAUGUGCCGUAAGAUUCUAUGUGACGGAAAUCUUAAAAAAUUUUGUAAAACUUUUACGAAGUAAACAAGGAUCUAAUAUCAUGGUUUUUAGUUCUGGAUCUGAAGUUAAGGUU